Molecule: transfer RNA, 67 nt
Filed under: marine eukaryotic metagenome
Rfam family: tRNA
About the family: Transfer RNA (tRNA) molecules are approximately 80 nucleotides in length. Their secondary structure includes four short double-helical elements and three loops (D, anti-codon, and T loops). Further hydrogen bonds mediate the characteristic L-shaped molecular structure. tRNAs have two regions of fundamental functional importance: the anti-codon, which is responsible for specific mRNA codon recognition, and the 3' end, to which the tRNAs corresponding amino acid is attached (by aminoacyl-tRNA synthetases). tRNAs cope with the degeneracy of the genetic code in two manners: having more than one tRNA (with a specific anti-codon) for a particular amino acid; and 'wobble' base-pairing, i.e. permitting non-standard base-pairing at the 3rd anti-codon position.
Source: RNAcentral
GCGUUUAGCUCAGUCCGGUAGAGCAUCUGGCUUUUAACCAGUGUGUCGCAGGUUCGAAUCCUGCAAC